GUCGCAGGUUCGAAUCCUGCACGACCCACCAAUUUCAGCAUUUAACUCAGAUGCUGAACGUGAAGGAUAACGUUGCGACAGCAACGGCCCGAAGGGCGAGGCGAAGUCGAGUCAUCCUGCACGACCCACCA
RNAcentral lists this small RNA (131 nucleotides) under Klebsiella pneumoniae. RNAcentral describes it as "RtT sRNA". It matches the Rfam family "RtT RNA", at positions 34 to 130 of the family's 130-position model. From Rfam's summary of the family: This family represents a bacterial cis-regulatory element known as RtT RNA. The exact function of RtT is unknown although it is thought that it may be involved in changing the cellular response in relation to amino acid starvation. The record is from RNAcentral. Lineage: Bacteria; Pseudomonadati; Pseudomonadota; Gammaproteobacteria; Enterobacterales; Enterobacteriaceae. RNAcentral also lists the same sequence under 1 other name.